RNAcentral lists this small RNA (59 nucleotides) under Arabidopsis thaliana (thale cress). RNAcentral's name for it is "ATSL101980". Lineage: Eukaryota; Viridiplantae; Streptophyta; Magnoliopsida; Brassicales; Brassicaceae. The record is from RNAcentral.
AAAAAAAAAUUGAAAAAAAAAACGGAAAAAUAUUUGUCUUCAGGUUCAUUGACUUUCCA